CUUAUAUAAAUCUUCACAUUACUGAAUACAUGUGUAAACAUUACUCUAUCAUGGAAAAACAUCCUUUGAUUUCACUC
Non-coding RNA from Rattus norvegicus (Norway rat), 77 nucleotides. Lineage: Eukaryota; Metazoa; Chordata; Mammalia; Rodentia; Muridae. The record is from Rfam.